RNAcentral lists this ribosomal RNA (274 nucleotides) under uncultured Streptococcaceae bacterium. Its description in RNAcentral is "partial 16S ribosomal RNA". It matches the Rfam family "Bacterial small subunit ribosomal RNA", at positions 505 to 779 of the family's 1533-position model. The record is from RNAcentral. Lineage: Bacteria; Bacillati; Bacillota; Bacilli; Lactobacillales; Streptococcaceae.
GUGCCAGCAGCCGCGGUAAUACGUAGGUCCCGAGCGUUGUCCGGAUUUAUUGGGCGUAAAGCAAGCGCAGGCGGUUUGAUAAGUCUGAAGUUAAAGGCUGUGGCUCAACCAUAGUUCGCUUUGGAAACUGUCAAACUUGAGUGCAGAAGGGGAGAGUGGUAUUCCAUGUGUAGCGGUGAAAUGCGUAGAUAUAUGGAGGAACACCGGUGGCGAAAGCGGCUCUCUGGUCUGUAACUGACGCUGAGGCUCGAAAGCGUGGGGAGCGAACAGGAUU